UACAGAGACUGCAAGCGUUAUUCGGAUUCACUGGGCGUAAAGGGUGCGCAGGCGGCCAAGUGUGUUAGGUGUGAAAGCCCGGGGCUUAACCCCGGAAUUGCACCUAAAACUACAUGGCUAGAGCAUUGGAGAGGGGAGCAGAAUUCACGGUGUAGCAGUGAAAUGCGUAGAUAUCGUGAGGAAUACCAGAGGCGAAGGCGGCUCCCUGGACAAUUGCUGACGCUCAGGCACGAAAGCGUGGGGAGCAAAAGGG
RNAcentral lists this ribosomal RNA (253 nucleotides) under uncultured bacterium. RNAcentral's name for it is "partial 16S ribosomal RNA". It matches the Rfam family "Bacterial small subunit ribosomal RNA", at positions 524 to 776 of the family's 1533-position model. The record is from RNAcentral.